Long non-coding RNA from Toxorhynchites rutilus septentrionalis, 1602 nucleotides. RefSeq lists it as uncharacterized. The transcript has 4 exons. NCBI's taxonomy places the organism in Eukaryota, Metazoa, Arthropoda, Insecta, Diptera, Culicidae. The record is from RefSeq and is a predicted model, not a curated record.
AACGUGGUCCACAGCUAGUGUUUUGUGUUGUCAUCGCUCUGAAAAGACAAAAUACCUCUCGAAUUGUCGUCUAUGUAGUUAAUAGGAAUCGUAGUCGUCAUCAUAAAAUGUGUGAAUUUACUGUUGCAUAUCCCGUGCAGAGUCUGCAAGUGCUUUCCGAUAUGCGACUAGCAGUGGGCCACCAGAGUGGCUUCACCGUCUAUUGUUUGCAGGGAGAGGCUCAAGCGAUGCGUAUGGGUGGGUUUAGACUAGUGAUAUAUUCAUGUGAAGAAAUAUGAUGAGAUUUAUAGAAAUCGCAUCAUCCGUUUACACUAGCGUGAACUUCUAUAAUGAAUAUAUUCAUAUCUUCGGUGAAAUUAUUCACCUGAAGUAGAACUGCAUCCAACUUUAGUGAUUUCUCACCAGUGAGAAAUUCACAAGCGUUUACAUGUGCUGAAUUUAUUCAAGUUAUAUAUACCUCGAAUAAGUGUAUCAUAUUUAUUCUCACCCGUUUACACCUAUUUUCACGUGAAUAAAUCCAUCUAUAGCUAUAGAUCUCCCUAAUGUAAACCCGCCAUAAGAUAAAACUAACUAUGAAAGAUGAUUUCCACGUUUAAAACGUGUUUUAUUCACAGCUCUUGUUCAUCCGGAGAAUCAAUUGAAUAAUUUUCUUGCGUAUUCCGAAGUCGACGCUUGGCGUGUUAUAGAAAUACAAUCCGGACAAGGUUCCAGUGCCCACGGAGAGUAUCUGCUAGUAUUUCAAACGUUAGCUAUUUAUGUCGAUUUGCAAGGCCGAAAGUCUCGAGACUGAGAAAUUAUGUACCCGGUCAUACCCACCAAUAUAACUGUCCCAGCAGAACUGUCAACACGUAACCUCCACUAGUUUAUUGUCAGAAAAAUCUCACAAAUACCCCGAUCAACCAUCACAACCAGAGCUAGUACUCACUCCAUCAGCAGCAGCAACCUCAUACCUACAGUAACCAACAGCAGGUGCAUCUGAUGAAUCACUCCAACUACUCGAUGGAAAGCGAGGAGGGUGAUGUGGAAGAUAUCCGAGGUCAUUCAUUAUCUAGUUCGAAGAUUAAUCUAAGUGAUCAUUCGCUGUAUGCAUAGCGUAAUGAUGCCGAAGCAGGAGGUUCAUCAGUUCCUUGUGCGUACGUUCUCUAGUCCCACUAAGUGUAACCACUGCACCUGAUAGUUGGUGAUCGUGAGUUGUGUGGUUUCGCUUGCCACAUGAUCUGCUGCCAGAAGGUGCCCACGCAGUAUCCUGUGCGAUCCGAUCAAACCAAACGGCCGCUCGGUAUUGAUCGGACCCGACAGAUACCGCGUACGAGGGCUACGUGAAGGUGCCCAAGCUAGGGGCGGUCAAGCGAGACUGGGUUCGACAGUUUGUUGUUGUUUGUGAUUUUAUGCUAUUUCUGUACGACAUCUCAACAGAUCGCAGUGAUUUACCAAGUGUUGAUGUUACUCAGGUAAGGGAUUUUUUUCAGAUGAAUAAUGAUGUGUCAUGUUUUCUGCUUCUCUACCACAGGAUAUGAGAGAUCCUGAAUUUGCGGUGUCUGGAGUUUGCGAAUGUGACGUUAUUCAUGCAGCUGAGAAAGACGUUCCUUGUAUCUUUAGGGA